UGCAAGUCGAACGGUAACAGGUUAAGCUGACGAGUGGCGAACGGGUGAGUAAUGUAUCGGAACGUGCCCAGUCGUGGGGGAUAACUGCUCGAAAGAGCAGCUAAUACCGCAUACGACCUGAGGGUGAAAGCGGGGGAUCGCAAGACCUCGCGCGAUUGGAGCGGCCGAUAUCAGAUUAGGUAGUUGGUGAGGUAAAGGCUCACCAAGCCGACGAUCUGUAGCUGGUCUGAGAGGACGACCAGCCACACUGGGACUGAGACACGGCCCAGACUCCUACGGGAGGCAGCAGUGGGGAAUUUUGGACAAUGGGCGCAAGCCUGAUCCAGCCAUGCCGCGUGCGGGAAGAAGGCCUUCGGGUUGUAAACCGCUUUUGUCAGGGAAGAAAAGGUUCUGGCUAAUACCUGGGACUCAUGACGGUACCUGAAGAAUAAGCACCGGCUAACUACGUGCCAGCAGCCGCGGUAAUACGUAGGGUGCAAGCGUUAAUCGGAAUUACUGGGCGUAAAGCGUGCGCAGGCGGUUAUGCAAGACAGAGGUGAAAUCCCCGGGCUCAACCUGGGAACUGCCUUUGUGACUGCAUGGCUAGAGUACGGUAGAGGGGGAUGGAAUUCCGCGUG
This 617-nucleotide ribosomal RNA is filed under the name uncultured bacterium. RNAcentral describes it as "bacterial SSU rRNA". It matches the Rfam family "Bacterial small subunit ribosomal RNA", at positions 56 to 675 of the family's 1533-position model. The record is from RNAcentral.